GAUCCUCUCGAUGCCUCCGAUUACCAAUGCAAGGCACACUGGAGAGGUCACCGCUGGGUGACGAAUGGCUGUUUGUAGAGGCAACAGGGCAUGACAAGGAGAGAAUACGGCUGGUCAUGAAUAUCAUGGCGGCCAAUCUCUUCGAUCGCGGCUAUCUGAUCGAACCCGUUCAGGUGGAGGACUCCCAGGGGCACACCCUUACCCCCCAACCCUCGGGGGACCGGAUCUUUGUCCCGGGAAACCUCCACACACGUGCAACAAUGGCCGGUACAGACGGAGGCAAUGCCGAGAGGCGGAGCAAACCCGAGAAAACCGGUCCCAGUUCGGAUUGAGGUCUGCAACUCGACCUCAUGAAGUCGGAAUCGCUAGUAAUCGCAUAUCAGAACGAUGCGGUGAAUACGUUCCCGGGCCUUGUACACACCGCCCGUCACACCACGAAAGUUUGUUGUACCCGAAGUCGGUGCCUUAACCUCGCAAG
RNAcentral lists this ribosomal RNA (478 nucleotides) under uncultured bacterium. Its description in RNAcentral is "bacterial SSU rRNA". It matches the Rfam family "Bacterial small subunit ribosomal RNA", at positions 966 to 1445 of the family's 1533-position model. The record is from RNAcentral.